Podarcis lilfordi (Lilford's wall lizard) is the source of this 106-nucleotide non-coding RNA. Lineage: Eukaryota; Metazoa; Chordata; Lepidosauria; Squamata; Lacertidae. The record is from the annotation of a GenBank genome assembly.
CGUUGCUGGGCAAAUGCCGCACUUUGCAUAUUUGACAAACUGACACUCUGCCACAUUGAGUGUCGAACUCAGCUUGUCAAAUACACGGAGAGAAGCACUGCAGAUC